RNAcentral lists this ribosomal RNA (459 nucleotides) under uncultured bacterium. Its description in RNAcentral is "partial 16S ribosomal RNA". It matches the Rfam family "Bacterial small subunit ribosomal RNA", at positions 28 to 507 of the family's 1533-position model. The record is from RNAcentral.
GAUGAACGCUGGCGGCGCACCUAACACAUGCAAGUCGAACGGCACCCCUCCUCGGAGGGCAGCGAGUGGCGAACGGCUGAGUAACACGUGGAGAACCUGCCCCCUCCCCCGGGAUAGCCGCCCGAAAGGACGGGUAAUACCGGAUACCCCGGGGUGCCGCAUGGCACCCCGGCUAAAGCCCCGACGGGAGGGGAUGGCUCCGCGGCCCAUCAGGUAGACGGCGGGGUGACGGCCCACCGUGCCGACAACGGGUAGCCGGGUUGAGAGACCGACCGGCCAGAUUGGGACUGAGACACGGCCCAGACUCCUACGGGAGGCAGCAGUGGGGAAUCUUGCGCAAUGGGGGGAACCCUGACGCAGCGACGCCGCGUGCGGGACGGAGGCCUUCGGGUCGUAAACCGCUUUCAGCAGGGAAGAGUCAAGACUGUACCUGCAGAAGAAGCCCCGGCUAACUACGUG